Molecule: non-coding RNA, 130 nt
Organism: Rhizoctonia solani
Lineage: Eukaryota; Fungi; Basidiomycota; Agaricomycetes; Cantharellales; Ceratobasidiaceae
Source: the annotation of a RefSeq genome assembly
GCCUCAGUGGUCUAGUAGUAUGAUUCGCCCUUCGGGAUCUAUCCCGUAAGCAUUAUGUGAACCAACCUACAUAAUAUAGAGCUUACUUAAACAAUGGGUGAGGCCCUGGGUUCAAUUCCCAGCUGGGGCC